UCACGUUGACCUUGAAGAGGCUCAUGGGCCAACUGGAGUGUCCUGAUGAAGUUCUGGUGCUUAUGAAGAUCCAAACACUUGAUCUGGUCUCAACAGCCCAUACCUGAAUGAUUGUGUAUAGUUGUUUGAUGCGGUUGCAUUCUAAUGAUAUCACUCCCGAACUCGAUGAAGCUCUGCAAGGGGAGGUAUGCAAUGCCAGUCAUAUCACAACUAUGAAAGA
Rhodamnia argentea is the source of this 220-nucleotide long non-coding RNA. RefSeq lists it as uncharacterized. The transcript is spliced from 2 exons. Lineage: Eukaryota; Viridiplantae; Streptophyta; Magnoliopsida; Myrtales; Myrtaceae. The record is from RefSeq and is a predicted model, not a curated record.